This 23-nucleotide microRNA is filed under the name Callorhinchus milii (elephant shark). RNAcentral's name for it is "eshark_NOVEL_226". Lineage: Eukaryota; Metazoa; Chordata; Chondrichthyes; Chimaeriformes; Callorhinchidae. The record is from RNAcentral.
CAGUUGCACUGAGACUUCCAUAA